CCCUGCUCCGCUCACCUGUGCUGGGAGCGCUGAACCUCCUACCACCUUCGGGCAGGAGCCUCCUCAGGAAUUCCAGGGAAAGGAGGAACAGUCAGACCAAGAUCUGGCUGGGGCAUGGCCGCGCUCCCCCAGGCAUACGAAUAUCAAGUACCAACGCAACUGCAGCCUGUCUCCUAAGGACACAACACAGAGGUCUAUAAAUCCAGCCCCGGAACAGUUGAACCUCUCCUCCAGGCCACCUGCGGGCUGCAUUCUUGUUUGAAUCCCUCCUCCAGGAAUGUCCCUGCCUCAGUCAAGUCUGGACCCAGCUCAUCUGUGUGGAGCCGCCAGUCUCCUGCUGAUGCAACUUGUUCUGCUCUUGUUAGAACAGCCAGGAGCAAAGGGUAAAAUCUUCUGGGAAGGAAGCACCUUCCCAGUCGGGUUCCCGCAGUGCUGUCCUGAGCCCUCGCAGGCUGCUUCUCCCGCAGCCUCUUCGCCCCUCUCUGUUAGGAAAGAUGCAGUCUGCAUGCUGAGAUGAGAGGUCUGGGAAUGGAGACACUGACCCGGGGCUGGACUCCUGCAGCUAGGAGUAGGGCAGGUGUGUUUGCUCCUGUCCCCACUGCUGCUCCUGCCCGAGGACAGGUCAUCAGCUCUCACUGCAGUCACUCCAGGAGUCACCAGCCCUCCCUGCCUCCAUCUUGCCUUCCCUCAAUUCUGCGCAAAUCUGAUCUCGAUACUCUCAGGGCCAAAAUCUCAGAGGCUUUCCACUGACCACUGAGACAGCUGGUCAGGAUAGUCAAGACCGUAGGUCUGGUUUUGUUUCUCUUCCUUAUUCAAAAGGAGUUCAUGAGCUAGUGGGGAAGACAGGGCUGUGUACAAAUAUCUCAAUAUUUAGUAUAAUUAUUAUGAUGUGAGAAAGCCAAAAAGAGGUUUAAAACAUCUGCUAUACUUAUUUAAAACAUAUACAUGGAAGACCUACCCUCAAAAUGUUCACAUGCAUAGUACUUAAAACAGGAGAAUGAGCAAGGUGUCAUACUAAGAAAACUCGAAGUAAAACGAAGAAGAGCUUGAAAAGAGGGCUAUUUACAGAUGUAAAUAUUUCAGAAUUAAUUAACCCAGAUCAAUGAAACAACAAAUACACAAGUAUCUGUUACAUGUAAACCAUGUACUUUUUGUACAAACGUAUUCUAUAAUAUUUCAGGCAACGAAUAACCCUCAAAAUACUGAUUGCAUUCAUACAAGAGACCUUUAUGAACAUCCGGUCCAGUCCCCUCCUAAAGAAACCCAAGGACCUGCGAGGUUUGUUUUCUUAUCCAAUCCAUUUCUUCUGAGGGAUCCAGCUGCCACCAUCCCUCCCCAACAACUCGGUCUUCAAUCCUCAGUCAUUCCUAGGAACCAAGCAACACCAAUCUGUGGCUUCUGUGCAGAUCCAGCCACAACUGCACCCUUCCCACCCUUGCCUGUGGAUUGGGCUGCCCUCAAAUUCCGUGAUUCUGUUUUUGAACCCUAACAACUAACUCUGUAUCCGUAAGAGAGUUCUUUGUCCUUCACAGUCACGUUAUCAUCUAUAAAAUAUGAGAAAGAAGACUAGUCCCUUCUUCACAGCGUUUCUAUGCUAUGACAAUUAAAAGUCACGCACAUGAUAUGUUUGGUAGAAAGUCAGCUCGUUGUCUUCUACUAUUAGCGUGCAGGACGAAGUCCAAGCACCUUGAUGUGACUCUGGCUUACAAGACCCUUCACCGUCUGUCCCCUGUCUACCCAGCUUCACUUCCAACCAUUGGUACUACAUGCAUGGGCAGGCUCAUCCCUAAGAUUUGUGGGGCCAGGGACAAAAUUAUAAGUGGAUGUCCACAUACCACAUGUUUAAAUUUUAGAUUCUAAUCAAGGUAUCAAGGUAUCAAGCUAUUAAAUAAAAUAUAUUCUAUCCUC
Non-coding RNA from Vicugna pacos (alpaca), 1908 nucleotides. NCBI's taxonomy places the organism in Eukaryota, Metazoa, Chordata, Mammalia, Artiodactyla, Camelidae. The record is from RefSeq and is a predicted model, not a curated record.